This 641-nucleotide ribosomal RNA is filed under the name uncultured Lachnospiraceae bacterium. RNAcentral describes it as "bacterial SSU rRNA". It matches the Rfam family "Bacterial small subunit ribosomal RNA", at positions 67 to 721 of the family's 1533-position model. The record is from RNAcentral. Lineage: Bacteria; Bacillati; Bacillota; Clostridia; Lachnospirales; Lachnospiraceae.
UUUGAUUCUUCGGAUGAAGAUCCUGGUGACUGAGUGGCGGACGGGUGAGUAACGCGUGGGUAACCUGCCUCAUACAGGGGGAUAACAGUUAGAAAUGACUGCUAAUACCGCAUAAGACCACAGCACCGCAUGGUGCAGGGGCAAAAACUCCGGUGGUAUGAGAUGGACCCGCGUCUGAUUAGGUAGUUGGUGGGGUAACGGCCUACCAAGCCGACGAUCAGUAGCCGACCUGAGAGGGUGACCGGCCACAUUGGGACUGAGACACGGCCCAAACUCCUACGGGAGGCAGCAGUGGGGAAUAUUGCACAAUGGGGGAAACCCUGAUGCAGCGACGCCGCGUGAGCGAUGAAGUAUUUCGGUAUGUAAAGCUCUAUCAGCAGGGAAGAAAAUGACGGUACCUGACUAAGAAGCACCGGCUAAAUACGUGCCAGCAGCCGCGGUAAUACGUAUGGUGCAAGCGUUAUCCGGAUUUACUGGGUGUAAAGGGAGCGUAGACGGAGUGGCAAGUCUGAUGUGAAAACCCGGGGCUCAACCCCGGGACUGCAUUGGAAACUGUCAAUCUAGAGUACCGGAGAGGUAAGCGGAAUUCCUAGUGUAGCGGUGAAAUGCGUAGAUAUUAGGAGGAACACCAGUGGCGAAGG